Molecule: ribosomal RNA, 465 nt
Filed under: uncultured bacterium
Lineage: Bacteria
Description: partial 16S ribosomal RNA
Rfam family: Bacterial small subunit ribosomal RNA
Source: RNAcentral
CCUACGGGGUGCUGCAGUGGGGAAUAUUGCGCAAUGGGCGAAAGCCUGACGCAGCGACGCCGCGUGAGGGAUGAAGGUCUUCGGAUCGUAACCCUCUGUCAGCAGGGAAGAACGGUCACUGUGCUAAUCAGCAGUGAAUUGACGGUACCUGCAAAGGAAGCACCGGCUAACUCCGUGCCAGCAGCCGCGGUAAUACGGAGGGUGCGAGCGUUAAUCGGAAUUACUUGGCGUAAAGCGCUCGUAGGCGGUAUGUCAAGUCAAGGGUGAAAUCCCCGCGCUCAACGUGGGAACUGCCUUUGAAACUGGCAAACUGGAGUGUGUGAGAGGAUAGUGGAAUUCCAGGUGUAGGAGUGAAAUCCGUAGAUAUCUGGAGGAACAUCAGUGGCGAAGGCGACUAUCUGGCACAUAACUGACGCUGAGGAGCGAAAGCGUGGGUAGCAAACAGGAUGAGAUACCCUUGUAGUC